AUGGGAAUAGGACUUCAUUUCAAACGGUCUAAUUCUUCUCUUGUGAGUGCAUUCUCUGAUGCUGACUGGGCAGGAUGUAGUGAUGACAGAAGAUCAACUGGAGGUUUUGCAGUGUUCUUUGGAUCUAAUCUUAUCUCCUGGAGUGCUAGAAAGCAAGCUACUGUGUCACGCUCAAGUACAGAAGCUGAAUACAAGUCUUUGGCUAAUGCAACUGCUGAGAUCAUUUGGGUUGAAUCACUUCUUGAGGAAUUGGGAAUCAAGAAGAAUCGUACCUCAUGUUUAUGGUGUGAUAAUUUGGGAGCAACAUAUCUGUCUGCAAAUCCAGUGUUCCAUGCCAGGACAAAGCACAUAGAAAUUGAUUUUCACUUUGUACGAGAAAGGGUUGCGGCAAAGAAACUUGAGAUUCGAUUUAUUCCUUCUAAGGAUCAAGUGGCUGACGGUUUUACAAAAGCACUACCAGCAAGACCAUUUGAAGAAUUCAAGAGUAAUCUUAACUUAGGUUAG
This 504-nucleotide ribosomal RNA is filed under the name Triticum aestivum (bread wheat). Its description in RNAcentral is "partial small subunit ribosomal RNA". The record is from RNAcentral. Lineage: Eukaryota; Viridiplantae; Streptophyta; Magnoliopsida; Poales; Poaceae.